This 429-nucleotide ribosomal RNA is filed under the name Actinomycetes bacterium. RNAcentral describes it as "Actinobacteria bacterium partial 16S ribosomal RNA". It matches the Rfam family "Bacterial small subunit ribosomal RNA", at positions 355 to 776 of the family's 1533-position model. Lineage: Bacteria; Bacillati; Actinomycetota; Actinomycetes. The record is from RNAcentral.
UAGGGAAUCUUCCGCAAUGGGCGAAAGCCUGACGGAGCAACGCCGCGUGAGUGAUGAAGGUCUUCGGAUUGUAAAACUCUGUUAUUAGGGAAGAACAAACGUGUAACUAACUAUGCACGCCUUGACGGCACCUAAUCAGAAAGCCACGGCUAACUACGCGCCAGCAGCUGCGGUAAUACGGAGGUGGCAAGCGUUAUCCGGAAUGAUUUGGCGUAAAGCGCGCGUAGGCGGUUUUUUAAGGCUGACGUGAAAGCCCACGGCUUAACCGUGGAGGGUCGUUGGAUACUGGGAAACUUGAGUGCAGGAGAGGAAAGCGGAAUUCCAAGUGUAGCGGUGAAAUGCGCAGAGAUAUGGAGGAACACCAGUGGCGAAGGCGACUUUCUGGUCUGUAACUGACGCUGAUGUGCGAAAGCGUGGGGAUCAAACAGG